Molecule: ribosomal RNA, 468 nt
Filed under: uncultured bacterium
Lineage: Bacteria
Description: partial 16S ribosomal RNA
Rfam family: Bacterial small subunit ribosomal RNA
Source: RNAcentral
GACGAACGCUGGCGGCGUGCUUAACACAUGCAAGUCGAACGGAAAGGCCCUGCUUUUGUGGGGUGCUCGAGUGGCGAACGGGUGAGUAACACGUGAGUAACCUGCCCUUGACUUUGGGAUAACUUCAGGAAACUGGGGCUAAUACCGGAUAGGAGCUCCUGCUGCAUGGUGGGGGUUGGAAAGUUUCGGCGGUUGGGGAUGGACUCGCGGCUUAUCAGCUUGUUGGUGGGGUAGUGGCUUACCAAGGCUUCGACGGGUAGCCGGCCUGAGAGGGUGACCGGCCACAUUGGGACUGAGAUACGGCCCAGACUCCUACGGGAGGCAGCAGUGGAGAAUAUUGCACAAUGGGCGGAAGCCUGAUGCAGCAACGCCGCGUGCGGGAUGACGGCCUUCGGGUUGUAAACCGCUUUCGCCUGUGACGAAGCGUGAGUGACGGUAAUGGGUAAAGAAGCACCGGCUAACUACGUG